Molecule: unclassified non-coding RNA, 329 nt
Filed under: soil metagenome
Description: partial contains 5.8S ribosomal RNA, internal transcribed spacer 2, and large subunit ribosomal RNA
Rfam family: 5.8S ribosomal RNA (bases 1-120)
Source: RNAcentral
GAUGAAGAACGCAGCGAAAUGCGAUAAGUAAUGUGAAUUGCAGAAUUCAGUGAAUCAUCGAAUCUUUGAACGCACAUUGCGCCCCCUGGUAUUCCGGGGGGCAUGCCUGUCCGAGCGUCAUUACAACCCUCAAGCUCAGCUUGGUGUUGGGCCCCGCCGCCCCGGCGGGCCCUAAAGUCAGUGGCGGUGCCGUCCGGCUCCGAGUGUAGUAAUUCUUCUCGCUCUGGAGGUCCGGUCGUGUGCUCGCCAGCAACCCCCAAUUUUUUUCAGGUUGACCUCGGAUCAGGUAGGGAUACCCGCUGAACUUAAGCAUAUCAAUAAGCGGAGGA